CAGCAGCCGCGGGAAUACGAAGGGGGCUAGCGUUGCUCGGAAUGACUGGGCGUAAAGGGCGCGUAGGCGGUUUUGACAGUCAGAUGUGAAAUUCCUGGGCUUAACCUGGGGGCUGCAUUUGAGACGUCAAGACUAGAGUGUGAGAGAGGGUUGUGGAAUUCCCAGUGUAGAGGUGAAAUUCGUAGAUAUUGGGAAGAACACCGGUGGCGAAGGCGGCAACCUGGCUCAUUACUGACGCUGAGGCGCGAAAGCGUGGGGAGCAAACAGGAUUAGAUACCCGGGUAGUCCCUGUCUCUUAUAC
RNAcentral lists this ribosomal RNA (301 nucleotides) under uncultured bacterium. RNAcentral's name for it is "partial 16S ribosomal RNA". It matches the Rfam family "Bacterial small subunit ribosomal RNA", at positions 509 to 807 of the family's 1533-position model. The record is from RNAcentral.